CCUACGGGAGGCAGCAGUGAGGAAUAUUGGUCAAUGGGCGGGAGCCUGAACCAGCCAAGUCGCGUGAGGGAAGACGGUCCUAUGGAUUGUAAACCUCUUUAGGCGGGGAGCAAUGCCGGGCACGUGUGCCCGGAGGGAGAGUACCCGCAGAAUAAGCAUCGGCUAACUCCGUGCCAGCAGCCGCGGUAAUACGGAGGAUGCGAGCGUUAUCCGGCUGUAUUGGGUUUAAAGGGUGCGUAGGCGGAUUUUUAUGUCAGCGGUAAAAUGUCCGGGCUCAACCCGGGCCGGCCGUUGAAACUGGGGAUCUUGAGUGGGCGAGAGGUAUGCGGAAUGCGUGGUGUAGCGGUGAAAUGCAUAGAUAUCACGCAGAACUCCGAUUGCGAAGGCAGCAUACCGGCGCCCGACUGACGCUGAGGCACGAAAGCGUGGGGAUCGAACAGGAUUAGAUACCCCAGUAGUC
RNAcentral lists this ribosomal RNA (460 nucleotides) under uncultured bacterium. Its description in RNAcentral is "partial 16S ribosomal RNA". It matches the Rfam family "Bacterial small subunit ribosomal RNA", at positions 338 to 795 of the family's 1533-position model. The record is from RNAcentral.